GCGCCCGUAGCUCAGCGGAUAGAGUGACGGACUACGAAUCCGGAGGCCGCAGGUUCAAAUCCUGCCGGGCGCACCA
RNAcentral lists this transfer RNA (76 nucleotides) under Clostridia bacterium. RNAcentral describes it as "tRNA-Arg". It matches the Rfam family "tRNA". Rfam says of the family: Transfer RNA (tRNA) molecules are approximately 80 nucleotides in length. Lineage: Bacteria; Bacillati; Bacillota; Clostridia. The record is from RNAcentral.